Galleria mellonella (greater wax moth) is the source of this 1708-nucleotide long non-coding RNA. RefSeq lists it as uncharacterized. The transcript is spliced from 2 exons. The record is from RefSeq and is a predicted model, not a curated record. Lineage: Eukaryota; Metazoa; Arthropoda; Insecta; Lepidoptera; Pyralidae.
CUUGUUAUAUCUAAGGUAAUACAUUGUCCAAAGAAAGUCUACUGAAUGACUCCAAUAAGAUUUUAUUAGAAAAGUACUACAAGUAUUUUCUCUUCCACAAAUAAUUGUAAUAAAUACCUGAUUGAUUUCGCCAUUCAAUGCAUUUUUAAAACCUUAAACAUAUACACUAGUUAAAAGAAAGUUAAUAAAACAAGAUGUAUAGAUAGUAGACGAAUCCAAUAAACGUUACGACAUUUUCUAGACUUGUCCGUGCUGACCACAUGGAUACAGAGUUUCCACUCAUUUAGAAUGAAACUGUAUACGAAACCAAUCGUAAUCAAUAUUAAAUCAACAUACUUUCUUAUAAGUUUACAAAACCUAUUACAUAAUGAGUAAUAAAAUUAAAACAAAAUAACAUCAAACGACUUAGGAAAUAAACACAACGUGUAAUUUCACAAAUACCUACCUACCAUCGAAGUUGUCAAUAAAAAUCUUACCAAACCUUCAUAAUGUAGAAACAAGACACGGCGCGGCGUCGACAAUGAACUUGACCCUUGAGUUUUGCAAGUUUCGAUGCCCACUGGCAAGCGUAUUCACUCACGCAAGAACUACUAUUAAGCGCGCACGAACCAAACGGAGCGCUGACAAAAAACCAAAAAUGUAUCCGAAUCCUUUCGACAGAAAACAUUCGACGAUUAGACAAGUCUUGGACCGUUUAUUUAAAGACUCGAAACCAAUAAGAAAUAAAACUAAUCUCUCAAGAAAAAAUAGUAACAGCUCAUCAUGUUCGAACUCAUCGACGAAUUCAGAAAGGCGGAAAUACUACGGUCUUAGACUUCUCCCUUGAUCGGAUUGUGUGCUAAAAAGUGUUAUUUGUUUUACUGCUAGCCAUCACGUUCCAGUACAUUAACAACGGUACGUGACGAUGCUGUCGAUGGAUAAAACCUGUUAAGAUUUAUGUAGAUACAUACCUAUCUCCACCUGAAAUUCAUAUUAUUUGUGAAUAAUAUUUUGUACAUAUUUUACAAGAGUCUGAACUUUAGAGAAUACGUUGAACUUGUUAUUAUUAUACGACUAAUAGAAGAGUACUGCUUAAGUUUUAUUGUACUUGUUAUAAACGUCUACGUUGUUGACACUGCCUAACUACUAGCAAUAAAAGAUAUAAAUCUAUCUAAUUUUAAAAAUUGCAUGAGAUACUUUUAAAUGUCUGAUCGUGUGUUCUUUAUUCUUGGUAAGGUAUGGGUGCACUUUACGAGUAACUUUUUCAGUUUUUAUUUAUGAACUUUCAUAUAUUGUGAAUUGUUUCAUAUACCUUCAAGGUUGAUAACUUAUAUUAUUAUUUUCCUUCUGUUGUAAUUAUAUACUUAAUAGGAAAUUAAUUAUAGCAUGAUUAUGAAUUCCAAAUUUAAAUUAAGACUUUAUUCAGGCAAUAUUAGACUCGAUCCAACAAUCCAAAUCGAACGCAGAAACUCUCUAAAGAAGUAUAAGUCUUAAAAGUUUGUAAUAACUUCAUUGUAUUUUUCAUUGAAUGUAAUAAAUAUAUUUGUAUAUAUAUAUUUUUAAUAUCACUACUUUUCUAAAUGAAAGUAUAAAAUGAAAGUAAAACUGUAAUAAAUAGGUAUUGUUAUGAUGCCAUUUAAAGCUUUAAUAAUUGUAAGACAUUAAAUAUUAAUCUUAGUAAUAAAUUAACACAUUAUUUUUUACAACAAUAAAUAUUUUAAAAAUGCAA